AUAUGUAGAACUGUCCACACAGUGAUGCUGACUGCUACAUGGCAACACCCACCUCUCAUCUCCUGGAUAGAGUCUUAUCGCAAGAAAUGCCUCGGAAAGGUUUCACAGGUAAAAGGUUUCAACACAAAUGCGUGUUUGACUUACUGAAGGUGAAAGAAGUGGUGUUCCCUCAUGCUAGAAGCACAUUCAGUCCUCUGAAAUCAGUGAAACAAUGCCACAAGUCUGUUUUGAGGCAGUUACCAGUGCACCACCACCUUCCCGUUCACUUUGAGAAAAGUGCAAUCAACAAGCAUGGCUAUGCACAGUACAGAAGACAAGGAGAAUGCAAUAGCCUGUGUUUCCUUUUGUCACUCUCAUCUAUGUGAUUCAGAAUAUAUCUGAUAUGAAAUGAACCUCUAACAUUUCAUCUUUUUCAAGACAUCAUAUGAAGAAAGUGAAAAAUAGAAAUGAUUUUGUUCACUUAGAGUCAAUUUCUACUGAGAGCUGUAUCAGAAGAGUUCCAGCGUCGUGACUGAUUUUGGGCAUCUGGCUGUGAGUGUUUGUUCCCACUUCUGACAGGGGACUCCCACAUGCAGCUCCUGCCUUCUCCCUUGUGUGUUUUCUUUUCACCUCCCUCACAGAAGCCACUUUUCCUGAGAAAUGGGAAAACCUUCAGCAUGUCCUCUUGCCCCGAGGGCUGUUGGCUGGGUGUCUUUUCUCUUUGAAGGUGAGAGACAUCUGCUUACUGUCAUGGGCUACUCAGAAAGCAGAGGCCAGAGCUGGCAGCUUCCAGAUGGGUCCUUUGUAUCACCCAGAAAUGCAGGAGGAGAGAGAUCUCAAUGCCAUGUAGGAAAGGAGGAGGCGAAGGUGCUGAGCUCCUGCAUGGCCAAGGAGGAGAAAGGAUUGAGAAAGGCCACACCAUGGGGAGAAAUGCCAGUUUGUGUCAGAAGGAAGGUGACUGGAAGGCAGUCAGACCGGGGGACCUUGGCAGACUGUGGUAUUUUACAGAGCCUUGGAGAUGACAAAGCAGCUGCUUCCCCUGUGCUUGACUGAACACUUUCUCCACAAGCCACUGGCCAGCUCCAAAGAAAAUGUCUGAAUUUGGAGAGAGAGAUCUAUCUCAUCCUCUAUUCAGUUUGUGUAAUUUCUGUGUACCUGAACCAUUCCUUAGGACUGUGUUCAGCUCAUGGUAGCUGAGAGCACUCUUCAGGAGCUGUGGAGAGCACUCUCCCUUCUUGAUCACCUGUUGACUGCUACAAUGGCCAUUAUUUCUCUUAGGAGUUUUUGAUUGCGUUUUCUGAAGGAAUCAAAUUUUGCUUGUGCUAUGUUAACUACAUAUGAGACUCAGUCUUUUCAAAAGUGUGGCACAAGAAAGCUUAAUGCCCUGGCUCUGGUGUCCCUGAUGUGGGGAAAAAGCUCAAACUGCUCCUGCUGAGCAGCACCAGAGGACUAGAUUUAGAUAGGAAGUUGCCCUGUGAUUGUAAUUGUGUCCAGGGUUAAACAGUAGCUGAGAUUUAUGCAUUGUUUUGUUGGUGGCCUGUCAGUUGUGCCUUAGCCUCAUGUUAGUUGCCCGAGUCCUUUAGUGGAUGUAGUUUUUAGUAAUAUUUGCAACACACAGAUUUAUAGUUGCAUUUAUUCCGGAGGAAUCUAAUCACAGCAUUGCUUUAGCAAAUGUAGCUGUAUCAGAGGCAAACAGUGCGUGAAUUAUGUGUCUCAGCAGGAUUGAUUGUGCCCUUAGGAGCUAUCAGCAGCACCCAGAGAACAAUUACCUUCUCCUGCUCGCAAUAAUGAAGUACAAUUUAGAAACAGAAAAUCAUUAUGUAAAACUUUGAGAAAUGACACAAUUACAGUACAUUACACAUACUUUUGUCAUAGGCUUUGCUUAUUACAUAACAUCUAAAUUUCUUCUGAAAGAGAAUUCUGUUGUGCUGGUUUCAUGCUGCAAUGCAUUUUGCCUUUCUGUUAAAUCACAAAAGAGAGGUUUUUAGGGCUGAAAAUACAUACAUCCAGAAAAUUCAAAGAACUUGCUUAUAAAGGGAAGUAGUACUUGAAAUAAUAAGUUAUCACAUUAAUUUCUGAUUGACUAAUAGGAUGUGACCUGCUCAUUUGCUAGUAUCUAUUUCAUAUUUUGCAACGAAAUAUAACUCAAAGAAAUG
Molecule: long non-coding RNA, 2135 nt
Organism: Gallus gallus (chicken)
Lineage: Eukaryota; Metazoa; Chordata; Aves; Galliformes; Phasianidae
Source: Ensembl